This 460-nucleotide ribosomal RNA is filed under the name uncultured bacterium. RNAcentral's name for it is "partial 16S ribosomal RNA". It matches the Rfam family "Bacterial small subunit ribosomal RNA", at positions 338 to 795 of the family's 1533-position model. The record is from RNAcentral.
CCUACGGGAGGCAGCAGUGAGGAAUAUUGGUCAAUGGGCGCGAGCCUGAACCAGCCAAGUAGCGUGAGGGAUGAAGGUUCUAUGGAUCGUAAACCUCUUUUAUAAGGGAAUAAAGUGUGGGACGUGUCCUGUUUUGUAUGUACCUUAUGAAUAAGGAUCGGCUAACUCCGUGCCAGCAGCCGCGGUAAUACGGAGGAUCCGAGCGUUAUCCGGAUUUAUUGGGUUUAAAGGGUGCGUAGGCGGCCUUUUAAGUCAGCGGUGAAAGUCUGUGGCUCAACCAUAGAAUUGCCGUUGAAACUGGGAGGCUUGAGUAUGUUUGAGGCAGGCGGAAUGCGUGGUGUAGCGGUGAAAUGCUUAGAUAUCACGCAGAACCCCGAUUGCGAAGGCAGCCUGCCAAGCCAUGACUGACGCUGAUGCACGAAAGCGUGGGGAUCAAACAGGAUUAGAUACCCGAGUAGUC